RNAcentral lists this unclassified non-coding RNA (256 nucleotides) under Archaeorhizomyces sp. RNAcentral describes it as "partial contains 5.8S ribosomal RNA, internal transcribed spacer 2, and large subunit ribosomal RNA". The stretch from base 1 to 69 matches the Rfam family "5.8S ribosomal RNA", at positions 84 to 154 of the family's 154-position model. Lineage: Eukaryota; Fungi; Ascomycota; Archaeorhizomycetes; Archaeorhizomycetales; Archaeorhizomycetaceae. The record is from RNAcentral.
GUGAAUCAUCGAAUCUUUGAACGCACAUUGCGCCUCCCUUCGCGGGGAGGCAUGCCUGUCUGAGCGUCAUUUGAACCUAUGGGCCCCAUCGGGGCCCGUGUUGGGCCUCGUGCUCCGGCGCGUCGCCUCGAAAGGAUCGGUCGAACGAGCGGACGUGAUCCACUAGGAGACACCGUUCAGAGACCCUAAAUCUCAGAUCCGACCUCAGAUCAGGUAGGGACACCGCCUGAACUUAAGCAUAUCAAUAAGCGGAGGA